This 120-nucleotide small nucleolar RNA is filed under the name Castor canadensis (American beaver). RNAcentral describes it as "Small nucleolar RNA SNORA40 (ENSCCNG00000023559.1)". It matches the Rfam family "Small nucleolar RNA SNORA40". From Rfam's summary of the family: The snoRNA ACA 40 belongs to the H/ACA family of snoRNAs and guides the pseudouridylation of 28S rRNA subunit at position U4565. NB This family has a high threshold value to exclude a large number of closely related sequences that do not appear to have conserved H and ACA boxes, and may be pseudogenes. The record is from Rfam by way of RNAcentral. Lineage: Eukaryota; Metazoa; Chordata; Mammalia; Rodentia; Castoridae.
AGCACUUUUAUGCGUUAACUUGCGGACCAGGCUUACGGACAGGUGCAAGCAAUAAAUCCUCUUUUGCAGCUCAGAAUUCAUGGUUCAGUGUGAGUUCUCAUUCAUAUAAGCAGCAGUAUG